CCUACGGGAGGCAGCAGUGGGGAAUAUUGGGCAAUGGGCGCAAGCCUGACCCAGCAACGCCGCGUGAAGGAAGAAGGCUCUCGGGUUGUAAACUUCUUUUAUCAGGGACGAAGCAAGUGACGGUACCUGAUGAAUAAGCCACGGCUAACUACGUGCCAGCAGCCGCGGUAAUACGUAGGUGGCAAGCGUUAUCCGGAUUUACUGGGUGUAAAGGGCGUGUAGGCGGGAAAGCAAGUCAGAUGUGAAAACCAUGGGCUCAACCUGUGGCCUGCAUUUGAAACUGUUUUUCUUGAGUACUGGAGAGGCAGACGGAAUGCCUAGUGUAGCGGUGAAAUGCGUAGAUAUUAGGAGGAACACCAGUGGCGAAGGCGGCCUGCUGGACUGCAACUGACGUUGAGGCCCGAAAGCGUGGGGAGCAAACAGGAUUAGAUACCCCGGUAGUC
RNAcentral lists this ribosomal RNA (443 nucleotides) under uncultured bacterium. Its description in RNAcentral is "partial 16S ribosomal RNA". It matches the Rfam family "Bacterial small subunit ribosomal RNA", at positions 338 to 795 of the family's 1533-position model. The record is from RNAcentral.